Molecule: ribosomal RNA, 463 nt
Filed under: uncultured Desulfobulbus sp.
Lineage: Bacteria; Pseudomonadati; Thermodesulfobacteriota; Desulfobulbia; Desulfobulbales; Desulfobulbaceae
Description: bacterial SSU rRNA
Rfam family: Bacterial small subunit ribosomal RNA
Source: RNAcentral
ACAAGCGGUGGAGUAUGUGGUUUAAUUCGAUGCAACGCGAAGAACCUUACCUGGUCUUGACAUCCCGGAGACCCUUAGGAAACUAGGGGGUGCUUCCAUCUGGAAGAAUCUGGAGACAGGUGCUGCAUGGCUGUCGUCAGCUCGUGUCGUGAGAUGUUGGGUUAAGUCCCGCAACGAGCGCAACCCUUGCCUUUAGUUGCCAGCAGUUCGGCUGGGCACUCUAAAGGGACUGCCGGUGUUAAACCGGAGGAAGGUGGGGAUGACGUCAAGUCCUCAUGGCCUUUAUGACCAGGGCUACACACGUACUACAAUGGCCGAUACAAAGGGCAGCGACACUGCGAGGUGAAGCCAAUCCCGUAAAAUCGGUCUCAGUCCGGAUUGGAGUCUGCAACUCGACUCCAUGAAGUUGGAAUCGCUAGUAAUCGUGGAUCAGCAUGCCACGGUGAAUGCGUUCCCGGGUCUU